Molecule: long non-coding RNA, 1167 nt
Organism: Gadus macrocephalus (Pacific cod)
Lineage: Eukaryota; Metazoa; Chordata; Actinopteri; Gadiformes; Gadidae
Exons: 2
Source: RefSeq, a predicted model, not a curated record
UCUAGGAGGGACGUAGGGGUGAUCUAGGAGGGACGUAGGGGUGAUCUAGGAGGAACGUAGGGGUGAUCUAGGAGGGACGUAGGGGUGAUCUAGGAGGGACGUCGGGGCGAUCUUGGAGGGACGUCGGGGUGAUCUAGGAGGGAUGUCGGGGUGAUCUUGGAGGGACGUAGGGGGUUGUGGAGUGUCUGUGGAUGAUGGCUGGUGAAGCAGCCUUUCCUGGCCCAGGUCAGAGUGAUUAGGCUGAACACCUGUUGCAUAUUGAGCAAUCAGCCAUCACCACACAUCCUCCUGCAUGGCGACGUGUAACACCAUGAAUCAUUAUCUACAAACUAAAAAAACAGAUUGUCCAACACCACCAGCCAAUCUAGGGGUGAUGUAAGGCUGAUCUAGGGCCGAUGUAAGGCUGAUCUAGGAGUGAUGUAAGGCUGAUCUAGGGCCGAUGUAAGGCUGAUCUAGGGCCGAUGUAAGGCUGAUCUAGGAGUGAUGUAAGGCUGAUCUAGGGCCGAUGUAAGGCUGAUCUAGGGCCGAUGUAAGCCUGAUAUAGGGUGAUGUAAGGCUGAUCUAGGGGUGAUGUAAGGCUGAUCUAGGGGUGAUGCAGAUUUUCAAACGGCUUGUAAUGGCUAAUCCCACUCACACUUGGUUGUAUAAUGGGUCACCUUUAAUUAUUAACAGACUCCCAGCUCUCAUAACUACAUCCUGGUGAUGCAACAAAGAGGGCUAGCCAGGCUAACCCUAAACCAACAAAAAGGCUUACCUUAACCCUAGGGCUUACCCUAAACUUGGAACUAACCCUAGGGCUUACCCUAUACUUGGGGCUAACCCUAAACCUUGGGCUAACACGUUACCCAGGCUAACCCUAACCCCAUUAAAAGCUUUAAGGUGGCACUACUUGUCUUAAGUACCACUUGCAUAAAAUCUCUGAUCUUUAUGUAUAACCAAAAUAUUCAUCAGAAAGUUAAUAUAUGUAUUUAACAUUUAAUUAUACUCAUGUUCAAGGUUAAAGGUAUUUAUAAAAAAAAAGAAAUUAUUCAUAUAUAUGCAAAUAAACAUAACUGUAUAAGAAAAAUCUAAGCCAUACUGACUGAUUAGCAAAUCAUGGAUAAAUGGAAAUUGAUGGCAUAAUCAAUACUAUUAAAAUAAUUAUCGGAAUAAUCAUUUGACAUUUUA